GCCUCGGUGGCUCAGUCGGUUAAGCGUCUGACUUCAGCUCAGGUCAUGAUCUCACGGUUUGUGGGUUCGAGCCCCACAUCAGGCU
This 85-nucleotide transfer RNA is filed under the name Felis catus (domestic cat). It matches the Rfam family "tRNA". From Rfam's summary of the family: Transfer RNA (tRNA) molecules are approximately 80 nucleotides in length. Lineage: Eukaryota; Metazoa; Chordata; Mammalia; Carnivora; Felidae. The record is from Rfam by way of RNAcentral. RNAcentral also lists the same sequence under 2 other names.